AUUGAACGCUGGCGGCAGGCCUAACACAUGCAAGUCGAGCGGAUGAAGGGAGCUUGCUCCUGGAUUCAGCGGCGGACGGGUGAGUAAUGCCUAGGAAUCUGCCUGGUAGUGGGGGAUAACGUCCGGAAACGGGCGCUAAUACCGCAUACGUCCUGCGGGAGAAAGUGGGGGAUCUUCGGACCUCACGCUCUCAGAUGAGCCUAGGUCGGAUUAGCUAGUUGGUGGGGUAAAGGCCUACCAAGGCGACGAUCCGUAACUGGUCUGAGAGGAUGAUCAGUCACACUGGAACUGAGACACGGUCCAGACUCCUACGGGAGGCAGCAGUGGGGAAUAUUGGACAAUGGGCGAAAGCCUGAUCCAGCCAUGCCGCGUGUGUGAAGAAGGUCUUCGGAUUGUAAAGCACUUUAAGUUGGGAGGAAGGGCAGUAAGUUAAUACCUUGCUGUUUUGACGUUACCAACAGAAUAAGCACCGGCUAACUUCGUG
RNAcentral lists this ribosomal RNA (484 nucleotides) under uncultured bacterium. RNAcentral describes it as "partial 16S ribosomal RNA". It matches the Rfam family "Bacterial small subunit ribosomal RNA", at positions 30 to 507 of the family's 1533-position model. The record is from RNAcentral.